UUUCGAGAAAUAGGGAGCGAGCAGCCACCCCUCUUCUUGCCUCGCUUCUCGCAACCUUGACCUUCCCUCCGUAGCGUGUUGGAGAGAAAACCCUAAUCCCUCCGGCGAUGCGGUCAGCCCGCUCGUUCCUUCUCUCCGGCGAGCUCGAUUCGUGGAGGAAGGCAAUGUCUUCGACCCUUCUCGAGCUGACGCGGGCCGCCCACGAGAACGUGGAGCGGUCGCUCGUCGUGAAGGAGCUCCCAUGGGAGCCGGCCAACACUGGGGAGGGCCUCUUCCAGAACCACCACGUCCACCACAUGAUCACUCUCAUCACGACCAUCACCGACAAGCUCAUCGACAUAUAUGAGGACAAAGAAAAUACGAGGAGAGAUGAGAUUGCAGCAAUGGGACGGGUGGUCCCAACAAUUCUUUCCCUGCUUUCUAUGUUCGUCUGAAGGCGGUGAAGAUCUUCUAUUGAACCCUCGAAGUAAUGAACAGAUUUGUGAUUACCAUAGGCAACAUCCAGCUGCAUGUAUGAUUGAUGCAAAUGAAGAACUUGAAGAGUUACUGAAGGAAGAACCGUGAAUUGAAUUCAGCAAAGAUGGAGCACAGAAUAUUUGUCGCAUGUUUUGGUGGGUUCAGGUUGUAUCUUUUGCGCCAAAGCAUGAUUGAUCUUGCACAACAUAGACUGCUGGAUUUGUCCCACAAAGAUUUCAAAGCAUUCCUCCAUUCAUCUGCUUGCACAGGUCUUGAAGCAACCAUUGUGUGAUCAAACAGUGGAUCGCACAGAGGAAGAUGAAUCCUUCUUUUGCGCGAAAGAUACAAGCCCUAUCCUGUUUUGGAAUAUUUGAUUUCUUUUUUGGAGCAUGCACAGCCCCUGCAAGACCCUGAGAGAAGAUUUACCAAGGGUGGAGACCAAGUUGGAAGAGCAGUAGGCUGAUGGUAAAGUACUUGGAUGGGAAAACAAGGGGCUAGAAAAUGAGCAUAUUUCAUCACAAGAGUCCGUGAUUGAUCUUGAUUAUUAUAGUACUGGAAGAAUUUAUGGAAGUGGGCCCUGAAAAAUUAAAAGAGGUCUUAGCUGCUCAUGGAUUGAAAACUGGCAGCACACUUUAGCAGCAUCAGAGUGCAUAUUUCUGACAAAGACCAUUGUACAAGGAGAGGAAAAUGUUGAAAAAACAAACUUUAACAUAUGAGGAGAUGGAGGCUGAACGUGAAGAGGCAGGAGGAAAUAAAAGCUGGUACUGAGAGUGAUGAUGAAGAGCAGCAAAUUUUUAAGAUCCUCUGAAGUUGUCUAUGGGUUGGGAUGACAAGCUUAUACCCUACUGGCUCAAUAAGCUUCAUGGUCUUGCCGAGUUCAAAAUUUUCUCAGCUGGCAGAGUAAAAUGAAGCAGCCUCUAAAAUGUUUCCAAUGCAUGAACUCGCAAUGAUAUGCGAAGCAAAGGAUCUGUAGGAUAAAAUACAAGAACAAAAACAAUUGACCAAGUGGCGACCAGACCUUGAAGAAGAGCAUGAAGACACGGGAGGGUAACAUUUAUAACAAGAAAACAUACACUGACCUGCCGCACGAAGGCCUCAUUUGACAUAGGGCUGACUCUAAGCAGAGCAAACCCGUUCCAUUGCCCAAGUGGUAAGGGUGAUACCACCGGAGGAAGCGCUUGGUGGUGUAUGCUCGUUGCUGCUGUCUACCCGAGUCUGUCGGUCUGUCAAGUCUCUACAAAUGUUGCAAUAUAUACAGGAAAUGCUGCAGAUGAGAGCUUGGAGAACUUUUUAUCCACUUUGGAGCUUUAGGCAUUUCCUUGUACGCACACCAUACCUCUUGCACAUUGAGUUCAUUUCUUGUCUAAUUUCGCCAUGUUGUCUGGAUCAAAAUGCUCGGUCGUUUCUCAGGUGCAAGAAGAACUAAUGAAUAAUAUACGCAGCAGUUAUUGAUAGGCCUCCAGGCAAAUAUCCAGAUGAAGAUGAAGUGAGAAAGUUC
Elaeis guineensis (African oil palm) is the source of this 1954-nucleotide non-coding RNA. The record is from RefSeq and is a predicted model, not a curated record. NCBI's taxonomy places the organism in Eukaryota, Viridiplantae, Streptophyta, Magnoliopsida, Arecales, Arecaceae.